UCUGCGUACUUUGAUGUGUGCAUGACUUUGUUCCUGUUUGUAUCUUUGUAAGCCAAGAAUGAUUAGAUGACUAGAACAUUUUUAUUACUGACUUUCACAAAGUUAAUUCUGGGUUAUUUCUUGGCAAUGGUUUACCACUUUACGGUUACAGCUGGGGUUACGUUAAGCUCUAGUUUUAAGGCUUUGGCACUGGCAUAUAGGCUCAGGUUUAGGGUUAAGAUUUGGGUUCAUUUAAGGGUUUGGGGUUAAGGAAAUAGGAGUCGACUCUAAAAUAAAUCUUUGGUCCUCGCAAAGAGAAACAAGUAUGUGUGUGUGUGUCCAUGUGAGUGAGAGUGUAUGAGGACAAUAGCUUUAGCUUGCAUGCCUUCACUACAGUACAAAAUGUUCUGGGUCAGGAGAGCUGGCACUAGACCAAGUCUCCGGACUGGAGUAACCCCAGUCUCACUACUCCGUAACUCUCUCAUUCUGGCUUGCAUUUAACUCACAGCCCGAGCUUGUUCUUUCUAAUGACACACCCACAAACUAUUACACAGUUUAGUUACACUUUUCAAAAUAUCCACAAAUAUGAUUUUCUGUUCAUGUGAAGAAGCUUUACUAACCCCAGACUGGUAACAGGGACCAACACACACUUAGAUAAGCAUUAGUAGAUAAACUGGAAGGACAAUGUAUUCACGUUCUUCACUUGUUUAUAACAGUUAGAACAUUUCAGCCACCUUUUCUUGGCUGUUGUUAUAAUUUCUUUCCUGUGUAUGUUCUCUUUAAUUCUCAUUUGUUUGCUCUCAGGAAUACUCUCAGGACAGCACGGCUCCGAGCUUUAUUAUUGGCACCUUGUAAUGCUGCUGAUGGAGGAAGUGAAGCUUAUUGCUCACUUACUCACUUAUUGUUACUCAUUCACUUUAUGGUUAUUUUCAGCCCAAACAAUGGAGUCAAGAUCCUUUCCCCAUCCAGUCAAACAUGAAAAUGAACAGGGCUGUUAAAGCAUUGCCUUUGACUUCAGCCAGUAAUAAUACUGGUCUUCCUUUAGGUAGUGCCUUUUUUUCUUAAUUGCCUCAUUAGGAUAUUGGGACUCUGGUGUUUUUGUGGGUUUUGAACGUGUAAUUAAUUUUUUUAAAAAAAUCUGGUAUUUCAUUUUGUAAAAGGAGGGUAGUGUAGCAUCUGCAAAAUACUAUAUUAUAAGUUCAACAAGUCAUGUUUUGUCUUAUAUAAUUUACCUAAUUUGAAAAACUAACACUAUCCCAAAAUUGUAUUAAUGUUCAGCCAUGGGCAUCUUUCAACACUCGUUAGGUGCUCAGGUAAUUACUGUGAUCUUUUAUAAUGCUAAAAGGUGCUAUUUUUGAACUGAUAAACAAACAUUUUAGAGGCGCAGAUUCAGGUCUGGAACCAGGAGUAGGCAUGCAGUGAAGAAAGUACAGCUAAUGAAAACUUCGAUUCGUUCGAUUGGGUGGGGCUGAACAAUGAAUUACUUUUGCCGGCUAAAAUGACAAAUGUUGCUGCCAAAUUGACUCAUCUGUAGCUAAUAAACGUUAAUUUCAUGAGUUGGCCAAACUAUAAAAUGAAAAUCAUGGCUGUUGUCUCGUUAAUAUGCUCUGCAUGCUAAUAUCAGACAGGUAACACUAGCUAGUAGUUGUUGAGUAAAUUACUAAUAGCUGGCAGAUAUAAAGCUCUGAAUGGGGAGUUCCACGAUUCAGGGUUGUGGAAUCUUUCUGAUUUCUGGGACCUCCGGAUUUACAAAUUAGCCACUGGUUAUUUCACAAGACUUAGGUGUGCUACAAAACUAAAAUUCUAUAUUUUUAAGACUUGUUUGUCACUGAAGUUUUAUGACUCCCCUCCAACGCCAUCACCGUGUGUGUGGGGGGGUCAGGAACAGGGGAAGGCUUGUGGAGCAGCGCAGUAAUCACCCAUUUUACACUGGUGGGGUUUUAGAUCAUUUUAUAACUUUCUGAUUUUUUUAUGAACUUUAUGGCGGUCUGAGUUGUGGAAUUUGUGAAUGUUCCUCUUGUUUCAGGCAGAAGAGAGAGAGUGCAGGGUUUGACUUCAGUGAUGGAUGUUGAGGUCCUGUGGUCCAAGUAAUUCCCCUGCCCCUUCCUCCUUUACCUUUUAACUUCAGUGGUAAAAAUGGGUUUGGUACAUUCUUUGGGCUGAACAACCUUUGGUCACAGGAAGCCAGAGAGCCUCCUGACUCUAUGUGGUUCCUACUUAUUGUCUCCACCAGCAGGAACGCACAGAUUUUCAGCACUGCCAUGUUUUCACUUCAUCUGCUGCUUUCCUCUUGUACCCACUGGGUGAGCGGUGGUUGUGUGCCUGUAGGUGGCUUGAUAAUCGUCUGUGUUGUGUGUGUGUGUGUGUGUGUAAUUCAAUCAUGGCUGACUGUUGCAUUGUUGGCAAGUUGUGUGCAAGUGUUAAUACAGAGGAUUUCAUUCUAUCCAAACACUUGAAAUGUAAUUUGCUGAGGCGCUGAGAAAUCCACAGCAAGCUAUCCAAAGAUUAUUGAUCAUGUACUGUGUGCUUCCACAAUAAAAAAACACUGACAAGGAUUUUUUUAAUAUAAGUUGUAAAUUGAAGUUAAGAAAUAAAAAUUAGAAGUUUUGAUACAAAAGUUUUAACCAGCUAGAUUUAUGUGUUUUCCGGGUGACAUCUUUGGUGCUAAGCGUUAACUGCUGUAGUAUGUCUGCAUUACUGUCGCUAUCAUUAAACUAAGCAUAAAAUGCUCUCCUCCAAGCAGCAACAAGGACUCUGUUGGAAGAACUAACACACUAAAGUACAUAUUCAGAGACUGAUGUAAUCAAACAUGAACACUAGAUUCAGUAAUACCAAAAGCUUAGCACAUAAGGAGGAGACUGAGGUGGUGUAGUGAGUUAUGCCAUCGAGCAGUGCUGGUACGAGGUCAUCAGAGCGAUUGUAAGAAGUGUCCGAAUAUAAAGGCCUGCCCUUACCCUUAUAUAAAUGUGUUUGGAUGUUACUAGUCUGGUCUUUUUUUUGUUACAUUUCUGCAUUACACUGUAACUGUUGCAGCCAUGCAAAUUUUACUUCACUCGUAAUUGUGACAAUUGAAGAACCAAGAGGAAGAUUCACAUGGAACAAACAGCAACAUGCUUUUCAGUAACAGUUAAUGAUACUUAAGUAUUUUUCUCAACAGAGAUGAUUGGGAUCCAUCAAUCUUCUAUUUCCAUCAUAUACACUAAUUUAGCCUGGAAUCUGCCCAGUUUCGAGUACUGAUAUCUGUUGUUUCCCUCUUGACAGCAACCACAGACAGACAGAUCGCAGAGGUCCAACUGAGGGUUUUUUGCAGAUGGAAAAACUGUAACUGUUUAUCAUUAUGGCUCUCUGCCUGUACUCAACAACCACUGCAGCCAGGUGGGAUGCAAGCCUCCAUAGACUCUCCUUUGUAGACGCGGCGAUGCCUCGGCCUGCUGUGCAGCACCAGGCUGCAGCGGAAUUUUCAUUAUUUUCAAAGAGGCUGCUCCUUCUUGGGUGGUCCUUGCCAUGUGUCGGCCUUGGGUAUGCGUAAAUAUGUGUGUAUCUGAGUGUGCAUGUGUUAGGGAGUUUGAGUCUUGUUGCUUGCACGGUUUGUGAAUAAAUUUUGUCCGUGUGGCUUUGCAAGUGUGCGUUUUUGCCCAAAACUGCACAAGUCACGGAUUUCCUUCUCACGUAAUUAGCCAUGGCUGCAAUUUACGAGGGUGAUAAUCUAAACUGGGCAGUAGCCAAGUGGUUAGGACACAGCUAAAUACAGCUGUUGUCCACCGCUCAUGCUUUUUCUUAGUGAAAACUAAAUAAGUAUUUGACUAAAAUCUGAUUAAGAUGUUUCUGUUUUCACAACUAAAAUAGUACAAACAUAUAGAAAAGGUCUUUAACAAACUGAAAGUGGUGACCCUUGACUUUGUGUCAGUGCAGGGCCCCGUAUCCACAUACAAUUACUCCCCUCUAAAAGCAUUUUCAGGCUGUUGGGUAAUUCCUUAAGCAGGACUUGUGGUAUCUGGAAUACAGAUUUGAGAGCAAUAUACAUAUAAAAUAAGUGCUACUCACUCACUACCUACAGGUUUACAGUGACACUGAACAGAUUAUAUCAGAACACUUUGUGAUGCCUUGUCUCCCGCAUGCACAUUUCAUGAGUUUUAGGCCAGAACAAUAAAAAAGUCCAUUAGGUACAUUGGUGAGUACAAUAAAUGCGAACCCAAAGUCACCACAUUGCAGUUUAAACUCCUUUGAGAAAGAAUUUAUACAACUCUGGAAAGUUAUCACAACACCAACCUUUAUUUUUCUCUGUCUCAGCUAUAGACGUACAGUAUUAAGAGAGCUGGAGAUGGUGUGACAAGUCAUCCCUGCUGCCAAUUUGUCAGAGUGGCCAACCGUAAUACUGCAACAGAAAAAUCCCCAUCGGGACAAAAAACAUUUUCCCCAUGUGCCACCAUCAUAGAAGACAUGUCAGUAAAACCGUUGACAGGAUUCCAACAAGGAACAAUAGCCUGCGGUGAAGUCCUGAGGAGCAGCCAAAGCCGGGAACAAUGCGAGGGGCGUCGCGUGCCUCAGCAGGAGGUGGUUCAUGCCCGGGCCUUCGCCGGGGGCAUCAAGAGUCAUGACUAGAACCAGGUGAAAUGCCUGGCAUGCCACAGUCCCAUCUGGCUUCCUGCAAAGGAAAACUGUCCCAAAGAAACCCAGAAAGGGAGAAAGUGAAGGAUUAUGUUCACCGUCCAGUGUGGUGGAAUGUCGGGCUGGGAAGGAUGGAGACGAGCCAGCGGUGCUGAUUGGACCCGAACCACCGGCAUUCAGUGACCAAAGAAUCUGGCUUUAACUUCUCCAUGGGGGGUGGGAGGUGGGGGUAAGAGGCCAAGGCCAAAAUAUAUACUCUCUCAGAACACCAUGGAACCAUAUGUACUCCACCACAAAUAGGUUGUAUUUACCUUUUUUGCUGCAUUUGGUGAAGUUUUUAUGUCACAAUUUGCCUGUCUUUGCCUAAAUUAAUCUUAGGAGUUGACUGUGGUCGCCGACAUUGAAAAUUUUCUCCUAAUCAGCAACUUCAAGAGAAAGCUGAACUGAAAAUGCUGCCUUCUGGGGACAAUCUAACAUCUAACAUUUGUGAACAUUUGUGAACAUGAUCAAUGGAUCGGUUUGCUCUCAAGGACUGAAAACAUUUUAAACAGUUCAAAGACACCAUGCAUCAGUGCCAGCUCAAGUUUUACCCUCUUUUGACUGGCAGCAGUGUUUUCUAGUACAUGCAUUUCCAUCUACCUGUUUUUAUGUGCAUUUUCAACUUGUGCAUCACAAAAGUGAGUGGAUUGCCAGGAACUGGUUGAAGUGGAAAAGUCAGCAUAUCAAUAAAGGAUGAUGGAAGCAUAUA
Molecule: long non-coding RNA, 5335 nt
Organism: Siniperca chuatsi (mandarin fish)
Lineage: Eukaryota; Metazoa; Chordata; Actinopteri; Centrarchiformes; Sinipercidae
Exons: 2
Source: RefSeq, a predicted model, not a curated record